Molecule: transfer RNA, 77 nt
Filed under: Halomonas sp. HAL1
Lineage: Bacteria; Pseudomonadati; Pseudomonadota; Gammaproteobacteria; Oceanospirillales; Halomonadaceae
Also listed under: 8 other names
Description: tRNA-Met
Rfam family: tRNA
About the family: Transfer RNA (tRNA) molecules are approximately 80 nucleotides in length. Their secondary structure includes four short double-helical elements and three loops (D, anti-codon, and T loops). Further hydrogen bonds mediate the characteristic L-shaped molecular structure. tRNAs have two regions of fundamental functional importance: the anti-codon, which is responsible for specific mRNA codon recognition, and the 3' end, to which the tRNAs corresponding amino acid is attached (by aminoacyl-tRNA synthetases). tRNAs cope with the degeneracy of the genetic code in two manners: having more than one tRNA (with a specific anti-codon) for a particular amino acid; and 'wobble' base-pairing, i.e. permitting non-standard base-pairing at the 3rd anti-codon position.
Source: RNAcentral
UGCGGGGUGGAGCAGUUUGGUAGCUCGUCGGGCUCAUAACCCGAAGGUCAUCGGUUCAAAUCCGGUCCCCGCUACCA